AUUGAACGCUGGCGGCAUGCUUUACACAUGCAAGUCGGACGGCAGCACAGAGGAGCUUGCUUCUUGGGUGGCGAGUGGCGAACGGGUGAGUAACGCAUCGGAACGUACCGAGUAAUGGGGGAUAACUGUCCGAAAGGACAGCUAAUACCGCAUACGCCCUGAAGGGGAAAGCGGGGGAUCUUAGGACCUCGCGUUAUUCGAGCGGCCGAUGUCUGAUUAGCUGGUUGGCGGGGUAAAGGCCCACCAAGGCGACGAUCAGUAGCGGGUCUGAGAGGAUGAUCCGCCACACUGGGACUGAGACACGGCCCAGACUCCUACGGGAGGCAGCAGUGGGGAAUUUUGGACAAUGGGCGCAAGCCUGAUCCAGCCAUGCCGCGUGUCUGAAGAAGGCCUUCGGGUUGUAAAGGACUUUUGUCAGGGAAGAAAAGGAACGUGUUAAUACCAU
This 445-nucleotide ribosomal RNA is filed under the name Neisseria bacilliformis. RNAcentral describes it as "bacterial SSU rRNA". It matches the Rfam family "Bacterial small subunit ribosomal RNA", at positions 30 to 470 of the family's 1533-position model. Lineage: Bacteria; Pseudomonadati; Pseudomonadota; Betaproteobacteria; Neisseriales; Neisseriaceae. The record is from RNAcentral.